This is a non-coding RNA of Hydra vulgaris (swiftwater hydra), 1948 nucleotides long. Lineage: Eukaryota; Metazoa; Cnidaria; Hydrozoa; Anthoathecata; Hydridae. The record is from RefSeq and is a predicted model, not a curated record.
UUUUUUAUAUAAAUGUUAUUUAUUUGUCUGACGUAGGUGGUAGAGGAAUUAUUAUCUUCAAUAGUUAAGCGAUUGAUUAUCAGAAAAUUUGGAAAAUGGUCACUUAUAUCGGAUUUUAUGAUACCACUUUUAGUUUUAUAAAACAUGUAGUUAUUUGUUAUAAUAUUGUCAAUGAUUGAAGAAGUUAAGGAAGUUACACGCGUCGGUUAGUUUAUAAGUGGUAUAAAACUGUGCUGAAGAAGUGUAAUUACAAAGCGCCUGACGUCGGAAUCGCAAUUUGUAUUUAAAAGGUUUAUGUUAAAGUCACCUGUUAAAUGAAUGUUUUUACUUGUCUCAGGUAAUAUGCGUUCCAGAUGUUUUUGAAGUAGUUCGAAAUUGCCAUUGGGUGGUCUGUAUAGAGCAGUAAUGAAAGUAUUUUUAGCUUUCUUUUAUCUCAAUAGUUAUCGAUUCGCAGUCUUCAUUAUUUAUGCUAAGGUUUUCUAUCUUUUUGAAAAUAAAAGAAUCUAAAACAAAAAUACACACUCCUCCACCGAUGCCCUUUUUUCUUGCUUGAUGAGUUGAUUUAAAACCCGAUAAAUAAAAAUUUGAGUUUGAAUCAUCUCCGUUUUGAAACCAGGUUUAACAGCGAAAAAAAGUUGACGAAGAACUAAGAAAGGUAGAAGCCUCACUGACAUUAAAAUAAUUGGUUUCGAUUGAAAGUUUGUCAAAAAUGUUUACGUCAGGAUCAAUGUCAUUUGUUAAAAGUAUAUUAUCUCUGUGAGACAUAUUUAAAAUGUUUGGUAUAUUGGUUUCCGCCAUGUUGAAUAUUAACAAUUUUGUCAUACCUGCAAAAACUCGAAAAAUAUGGAGUAAAAAACAUCAACCUAAAUUGGUUUCAAAGUUACCUUAAAAAUAGAAAACAAGGAGUAUCUUAUACCACAUCUUGUUCAAAGCUAGAAACAGUUAGUUGUGGAGUUCCUCAAGGCUCUAUUCUUGGACCCCUACUGUUUCUAAUCUAUGUGAAUUACAUAUACCGUUCCUCAGAUAUGCUUAACUUUAUUCUUUUCACAGAUGAUACUACUAUUUCUUACUCCGACUCCAAUAUUUAAACAAUUUUUACCAUAGUAAAUCGUGAGCUGACAAACCUGGAAGAUUGGUUCAAAGCAAACAAACUCUCUUUAAAUAUUAGUAAAACUAAAUAUGUUUUAUUUCAUAAGCCAUCUAAGUCAGAUAGUUUUCCUCUUCAACUUCCUCAGUUAGUCAUAAACAGAAUUAUUGUAAAAAGAGUCGUGUCAAUGAAAAUCCUGGGAGUAAUAUUUGAUGAACAUUUUAAUUGGAAAAGUCAUAUUACGCUCGUUAAAAACAAAAUUUCUAAAACAAUAGGCGUUAUGUAUAAAACAAAACACCUACUAAGUAAAAAAUGCUUAAAAGAUAUAUACUACUCUUUUAUUCAUAGUUACAUUAGCUACUGUAACAUUGCUUGGGCCAGUACUUGUUCAUCAGCAUUAAAGAAAAUAUAUAAAAAACAAAAACAAGCCAGUAGAGUUAUAUGUAAUAUGCAUAAUUGUGCCCACGCCAAACCGUUACUCCGUGAAAUCAAAGCUUUAAACGUCUAUGAGUUAAAUUUGUACCAAAACCUAUUAUUUAUAUUUAAAUAUCAAAACGACAUGCUUCCUAAAUUCUUUAACAAUCAUUUUUUAAUUAUUUCUCAUAAAUACUUAACGAGGGACUCUAUUCACAAUUUUAACUUACCUAAGUCAACAUUAAAAAAAAACAGAUUACUCAAUUUCAUAUAGAGGACCUCGUCUAUGGAACAGAAUUCUUGACGACAAAAUGAAAAGUAUAACCUUAAUACAAUCUUUUAAAAAUGUAGUUAAACAGAAUUUGCUCGACUUAACAGAUACAAACAUACUUUUAUAUUUUUAGUUUUAAAAUUUAAUUUUUUUUUUACGUUACUUAUUUGUUUUUC